UACGUAGGUGGCAAGCGUUAUCCGGAAUUAUUGGGCGUAAAGCGCGCGUAGGCGGUCUUUUAAGUCUGAUGUGAAAGCCCCCGGCUCAACCGGGGAGGGUCAUUGGAAACUGGGAGACUUGAGUGCAGAAGAGGAGAGUGGAAUUCCAUGUGUAGCGGUGAAAUGCGCAGAGAUAUGGAGGAACACCAGUGGCGAAGGCGGCUCUCUGGUCUGUAACUGACGCUGAUGUGCGAAAGCGUGGGGAUCAAACAGGAUUAGA
This 259-nucleotide ribosomal RNA is filed under the name uncultured prokaryote. Its description in RNAcentral is "partial 16S ribosomal RNA". It matches the Rfam family "Bacterial small subunit ribosomal RNA", at positions 524 to 782 of the family's 1533-position model. The record is from RNAcentral.